UUUUGGUUGGCAAUUGUGAUUUUAUUUCAAGUGUGCAUCUCUCUUCUUCCAAUCAUUUGUAUCCUCUUGGAAAAUCAUAAACUAUGGUAGAUUUUGGUCCUGAAUCACAGCCUGAUUAGAUGAACAUAAGAUGCUUUUAGAGUAUGGAUCACUUAUUAUUAGAAUCAUUGGAAAUCACUGCAAACGAGUCUAGUUUUGUUUCUUAUAAGUAACUUCAAGUUAGAAUCGUUUGCAAAUGAUUUGUAAAAAAUAACCUAUAUAAUAGAUCCAAGACACAUACAUAUUAGAAUAAUUUAAAGAAGUUUUAGCAGCCACAAUGCUCUUCUCUAGGAUUGUGUGUGAUGCAACCUCAAUCCAAGGUGCAACUGACAGCGUGGAAAAUUUUCCACUUUUAGAUAUUCUGGAAGGUGGUUUGAAGUUACUUCACUUAAACGUGGAUUUACUGGACAAGGUUUGGAACAACUACUACUGCACCUAGGUAAAUGCAAAGGGCAUUUAUUGUCGUGAAUUGUGACUUCUAAUAUUGAUAUCUUGCGAGCAUGAUAUGGAGAGGCAUUGUGUUGGGAGAACUAUUGGGUCCAAAUUUAAUGGACUGUGCUGUUAUACUGGGGAGAAGUUAGAUUUUUCUGUAUUGUUGGACUUAACUGCAGAUCCAAAAUGUUUAGCACGACCGUCAAUGGUUCCUGCUUGUCUAAUAGAGAUAGCCCUUCAAGUUGCGAUCCAAGUCAUUCUGAAAGCAACAUCUUUCAUGUUAUGCUUUCACGUAUCAUUGCUUGUAAAUAAUAGGUUUUUUUAAUAUUUAUUUUUAAAUUUAUAAAUCUUAACCACCUAUUUCUGACUGCAGAGGUAUUUCAACUUAUCAAAUUGCAGGGUGUAUAUACAUAUGAUAUGGUGACACCAUCCAUCCAGGUUGAUACCUUCUGUGUUAAUGGGGGUCCUGACGGGAUAUAUUAGUGGCAUAAGGGGAAAGGUUGAAUGCCUUUCAGAGGAAGAUUUGGGGGAAAAAUGAGACAGAGCUAGUAAAGCAGGAGAUGAUCAAAGAGAAGUGUUACCAUUUAUUCCUAAGGAGCCAUAUGAUGUGAUUGCAAGUGUUACCAUUUCUACAGAUUUGCUCGAGAAUUCCUUAUCCUGGUCCUGAAAACACAGAGAGGUACAAAUCUUACUUGGUGGAAUUUGGACAUGUGGUCCAAACAGAAUCAUUGGCACCCUAUAAGGUCGGAUAGUCGGCUAACUGCAAUGAUGCUAAUGUUUGGAAUGUGGAAGGCUUGACAAAUGAAUUUUCUAAUCUAGAACUGAGACUUGGAGUAUAACACCUUGCUAGUUUCUUUGCAGAAGAAGCUAUUAUUGAGCUUGUUCCAUAGCGUGUUAGUUAUGUGCAAUUUAAACCAACCCCUUUGUUCUAAUCUCAACAAUUUAGCCCAGAGAGUUUAAAUUGGACUGCUCCUUGUGUUUAUUAUAUUGAUCCAUCAUAUGCGCGAUGCAUGGAUGGUGUGGUGGAAGUAUUAUGGAGAAUUUUUCAGUUCCUAUAUGAUUGCUAUUGAGAGAGUUGCGGAAUCUGAGUUGCAGAGAGCGGAUUGGCUCCUCCCUUUUUGCA
Molecule: non-coding RNA, 1594 nt
Organism: Prunus avium (sweet cherry)
Lineage: Eukaryota; Viridiplantae; Streptophyta; Magnoliopsida; Rosales; Rosaceae
Source: RefSeq, a predicted model, not a curated record